Molecule: long non-coding RNA, 390 nt
Filed under: Mus spicilegus (steppe mouse)
Lineage: Eukaryota; Metazoa; Chordata; Mammalia; Rodentia; Muridae
Description: lncRNA (ENSMSIG00000014236.1)
Source: RNAcentral
CUCGCUUUUAACGUAGAUGUGAUGUCACAGGCUGCGCUGGUAUCUCUCUGCGACGUCAGAUAUGAGAAUGCUACAGAUGGAGGAGUAGGUGUGUACACAAGCCCUGGGUGUUUGUGGAUGGAUGGGAGAAGCCACUGUGUUAUAAAUAAAAAUACACAGUCUUGAGUCUCUUAUAGGAAGAAUCUUCUCAGCUAGCUGCUAAGUACCAAGCAGAUGCACUUCAGCUGAAAAUGGCUAGGGGUGAGCCAAACUCAGGCGGCAGAUGUGAUAAAGGUAACUGGGCUCAUACCUUCAAAUCUUCAGUAAGAUCUUUAAUUGCAUCCAUAUGUGAAACAUGUCCUUCUCCAUUAUCAACAUCUUCAUCACCUGUUAUCACAGUUGACAUUUAUU